RNAcentral lists this ribosomal RNA (455 nucleotides) under uncultured Methylobacterium sp. RNAcentral's name for it is "partial 16S ribosomal RNA". The record is from RNAcentral. Lineage: Bacteria; Pseudomonadati; Pseudomonadota; Alphaproteobacteria; Hyphomicrobiales; Methylobacteriaceae.
CACGAAGUUAGCCGGGGCUUAUUCUUCCGGUACCGUCAUUAUCGUCCCGGACAAAAGAGCUUUACAACCCUAAGGCCUUCAUCACUCACGCGGCAUGGCUGGAUCAGGCUUGCGCCCAUUAUCCAAUAUUCCCCACUGCUGCCUCCCGUAGGAGUCUGGGCCGUGUCUCAGUCCCAGUGUGGCUGAUCAUCCUCUCAGACCAGCUACUGAUCGUCGCCUUGGUAGGCCGUUACCCCACCAACAAGCUAAUCAGACGCGGGCCGAUCCUUCGGCAGUAAACCUUUCCCCAAAAGGGCGUAUCCGGUAUUAGCUCAAGUUUCCCUGAGUUAUUCCGAACCGAAGGGUACGUUCCCACGUGUUACUCACCCGUCUGCCACUGACACCCGAAGAUGCCCGUUCGACUUGCAUGUGUUAAGCCUGCCGCCAGCGUUCGCUCUGAGCCAGGAUCAAACUCU